RNAcentral lists this long non-coding RNA (2604 nucleotides) under Rattus norvegicus (Norway rat). RNAcentral's name for it is "long non-coding RNA NONRATT024156". Lineage: Eukaryota; Metazoa; Chordata; Mammalia; Rodentia; Muridae. The record is from RNAcentral.
CUAGAAGGAGAGACUUUUUCCAAACAACUGAUGAAUGAUAAUCCUAGAAGUCAGGUCUAGUUGAUUAGGGUGUGAUCUCAUGUGGUUUGCAACAUCCCAAGGCAAUGCUUCCAGACUAGGGUGGCCAUCCAACAUUCUUGUUUGAAUCCUCCAAUAAAGAGGACACUUGGUUUAUUUCAAAACACAAAAUGCAGACAAGUGGGAGAACUGGUUUUCCAGUUUAUGUCAGUGUAGUCAACAGAGAGGGAAAAGGCCUUGUCACUUGGAGCUUUACCAGCCGAGGAAGUGCAGCCAUUGACUAACCUGAGCAUACUCACCCAGAGAGAGUCAUGCUAGAUGGCUUCCAUGACCUUGUCAAACCUAGGAAUUCCAAAAUCCAGAGGAAGCCAGAAAACAUGAUCCUGUGGAGGUGAGACAUUCUCCAAUGUUCAACUUUAGGGAUUUUCUCUAUUUGGCAGCCAUAGGCAAUGCUUAGUUGGGCAACUCUCAAGUCUAUAAGAGCAGAGAUGCACAAUACAUAUAAGCAUUUGUCCAUUUGCCCUUUUCUCAACAGAGGAGAUUAGGAUUUCAAAGAACAAAGAACUUCCCAGUUUCUGUUGGGCUCUUAAGACAUAGACCUGAGCCAUGAAGCCAAGCCACGUAUCUGCACCAUAGCUGCCUCCCAGCUGGCUAUAUGAGAAAACAUUAGGGAUCAUCUGUCCGAUUAUACAUAGAUAAAUAAAUAAAUAAAUAAAUAAAUAAAUAAAUAAAUAAAUAGUUUAGGACAUUUGUAACUUCUAGUUAGACUUUCUAUUAAAUGGGACCAAAUGUGUGUAUGGGUGCUGUCAGUCUGCUUCAGUCCAGCCAGUCCAUUGUCUCUAAGAUGAGACUCAACAGGACUUGGAUUUUGAGAAACCCAGGGUUUAAAUAAUUGCCUGAGGUCAUCAGGGGGACAGACUGAGUGUCUGUGAUCACUAACAGUGAGUGGACCUUAAAUCCACUCCAGAACUGUUGUGGGAGACCAAUUCUCUUAACAGACUGUCCAGUAGACAUCAGGAAUCCUUGAACAAUUUGGUUUUUCUUCCUUUUUCUGUUGUGCUGCAUGCACAGAUAUCCAACACUCAUGGGUUGUUUGGGGGAAAGUACUAGUGACGAUGUCAAUGUUAAUAAUACUUCAUGAUUGAUAUAGCUUUCAAAUAAAAUGUUUUCUAUGACUCAGAUAUUUAAUUUGAGGCAAUAAAGAAGAUAAAAAUGGUGUUUCCCAGCCAUGUUGCUACUUUUAGCAUGGUAGCUACUCUCAAGGUCACCGAAGCUUUCAUAGCAAAAGUUGGGUGGAAAAGGAUAUUUUUAUUUGAGAUGACACACUAGAGCCAGCAUAUUAUCUAACAACCAUGAAGAAAGUGUUGGGUGUCUUUAAAUAUUUAGUUAAUAUAUUCCUCAUGGACAUGAACAUACAUUCUUAGUUAUUAUCAUGAUGCCAAAUGAGAAUGGCAAGCCUAAGUUCGUGAAACACCAUCACAAUUAAGUCAAAAUAAUGCUAUGCUUUUGCAAGCGCAAGAUAAAGCCUGCUCAAUCUAGGGAUCCAGUUGUGCAGUAGAGUUCAGACUUCUCAUUCAAUCUUCUAUCGUAGACAUCUCUCAAGUGUUCUAGAUAUUAAUAACUAACAUUGGAAUUUUAUCUUUGCCAGCCCCAGCCUUCAGAACUUCAUUGUCAUAGUACAUCUGUAAAAAUGGUUGCACAUCAGAAGGGGCUUUGAAGCGGUUGUAUGUUGUUUGCCGAACUCAUUGUAAUUUUUUGUUCUUUUGCCUGCAUUGCCUCUUUUUGUACAGAACUUUUGAGUGUGAAAUGAAAAUUAAAGUUUGGUACAUACACAGUUUAAAAUCAUGUUUGUGUAUGAUGCAUAGGGUAAAAUGGGUGGCCCCGCACAGAAGUCUGCUCAUCCUGCUGUGAGGAAAUGACAUCAUAGUUUCUUCCAACUUGGCAUGUAAUUCCCCAAGGAGCCUGCUUUUAGAAUCAUUAAACUCGAUGAAUCUGAGUCUCCAAGAGGGACCUUCUGUGACAGCUAGUGAAAAGGUCGAUUUGGGGUAUGAAAGGAAAGGGGAUGAGGUCUUUUCUGCAAAUUGAUAAAUUAUAAGUGGACAUAGACUGGAAAAACUAUACAGGAAAGAAAGUUUUGGAGAAUCUGAGUGUGUAUAUAUGUAUGUGUCUGUCUGUCUGUACUUAACAUAAGUUCUGAGAAUCAUGAGGUAGGGAAUAAAGUAUGUGUGUACCUGUUAAAAAUCAAUACAGCUAAAUAAUAUUGGUGAACUUAUUUGAACUGUAUUCAUUAGGUACAUUGAUUUUCAUGCCCAAGUCGAAGUAAAGCAGUGAAGAACCCACUCAUCUGACCCAUGUGGUGACUCAUACACAGUAAAUAGAGGGUUUGAGUAGCGUGUCUACCCCUAGAUGAUCUUCAGAAUAGAGAGCUCUGCUUUCUGGUCACAUUCAGUCUGGCAGGAGUGUUUUCCCUGCUGUGACUCUUCUCUUCCCUCCAUCUGGUUCCCAAAUAUCUAGAAAUGCAGCAAUUCCUGAAAAUAGGUUCCACAAAAUGCCUCCAGAGACUGACCUUUGAAGUAAUGCUGCGUA